RNAcentral lists this unclassified non-coding RNA (381 nucleotides) under uncultured Alphaproteobacteria bacterium. Its description in RNAcentral is "contains 16S-23S intergenic spacer region". The record is from RNAcentral. Lineage: Bacteria; Pseudomonadati; Pseudomonadota; Alphaproteobacteria.
UCCAGUUUAUCACUGGCAGUUUCCUUAAAGUUCUCAGCUUAGUCUGUUAGCAACUAAGAAUGGGGGUUGCGCCCGUUAAAGGACUUAACCCAACAUCUCACGACACGAGCUGACGACAGCCAUGCACCACCUGUGCGAAGUCCGGCCGAACCGAAAGUUUGAUCUCUCAAACCGAUGACUUCCAUGUCAAGAGCUGGUAAGGUUUUUCGCGGAUUAUCGAAUUAAACCACAUGCUCCACCGCUUGUGCGGGUCCCCGUCAAUUCCUUUGAGUUUUAGCCUUGCGACCGUACUCCUCAGGCGGAUUGCUUAACGCGUUAGCUUCAACACUGCAAAUUAUUCAUUUGCAACGUUUAGCAAUCAUCGUUUAGGGCGUGGACUAC